CCGUCAAGGAGUCGGCUAAGGUAGCAGUAUGCCACAUCAGCCAAUAUGUUAAAAAAAAUUAGAAAAAAAAAAAGUUGAAAAAGGUAUGUAAAAACACUCAAAGCGCCUUCGUCUGCAUUUGAAAUAUCUCAGAUUUCGUUUUUCCCUCAUCUUCGUGUGGGAGUGCCACUGGUCUUCAUCUUUGUGUGGGAGUAAGUUGAAGGAGUUCAUCUUCGUCUAGUCCCUCGUCUGGUUCUCGUCACUGUGGGUCUUCAUGUGGGUCGUCCUCUUCAUGGAUAUUCGCGUGGGUCGUCAAGUGGGAUUAAAGGGACAACUCACAGCACUCAUCCGCUGCCAGUACACCUCAACCGAAUGCUCAAUAGAAUGUCUCACAACAGCAAGGCAAAAAUCGUGUGAUGCCACCUUAGAAUGCUAAGGAAAAUAAAUGUGGAAACAUCUAGAAUUUCUUUGCAAAAUCUGAUUGGUAUUUGAUUUCCUCUCUAUAAAUAUUGUACAGCACAGUGUGCUUAAGAUGACUUGUCUUCAUAAAGCUAUAUCGUUUCUCUUUACUUGACAUCCUCAGAGGCGAUGAUUAGAAGAUUAUGUGACUUCUUUCAACAUGGUCUCCAAAAUGUUGUCUAAGAUGGAAUCUAGCAACCCAAUAUUCAUUUAGUUUUUAAUAUUACUUUUAGUUUGAAAUUUAAAAAAGUUUGAUUGACAAA
Molecule: long non-coding RNA, 701 nt
Organism: Carya illinoinensis
Lineage: Eukaryota; Viridiplantae; Streptophyta; Magnoliopsida; Fagales; Juglandaceae
Exons: 3
Source: RefSeq, a predicted model, not a curated record